This 239-nucleotide ribosomal RNA is filed under the name uncultured bacterium. Its description in RNAcentral is "partial 16S ribosomal RNA". It matches the Rfam family "Bacterial small subunit ribosomal RNA", at positions 15 to 244 of the family's 1533-position model. The record is from RNAcentral.
GAUCCUGGCUCAGGAUGAACGCUAGCGGCAGGCUUAACACAUGCAAGUCGAGGGGCAGCAUAAUGGAUAGCAAUUAUCUAUGGUGGCGACCGGCGCACGGGUGCGGUAACGCGUAUGCAACCUACCUUUAACAGGGGGGAUAACACUGAGAAAUUGGUACUAAUACCCCAUAAUAUCAUAGAAGGCAUCUUUUAUGGUUGAAAAUUCCGAUGGUUAGAGAUGGGCAUGCGUUGUAUUAG